AAGGAAUAUUGGUCAAUGGGCGCAAGCCUGAACCAGCCAUGCCGCGUGCAGGAAGACGGCCUUAUGGGUUGUAAACUGCUUUUAAUCAGGAAUAAACCCCGGUUCGUGAGCCGGGUUGAAGGUACUGGUUGAAUAAGCACCGGCUAACUCCGUGCCAGCAGCCGCGGUAAUACGGAGGGUGCGAGCGUUAUCCGGAUUUAUUGGGUUUAAAGGGUGCGCAGGCGGGCUGAUCAGUCAGUGGUGAAACCCCGGGGCUCAACUCCGGAGCUGCCAUUGAUACUGUCAGUCUUGAAUUCGGUUGAAGUGGGCGGAAUGUGUCAUGUAGCGGUGAAAUGCAUAGAUAUGACACAGAACACCGAUCGCGAAGGCAGCUCACUAAGCCGACAUUGACGCUCAUGCACGAAAGCGUGGGGAGCGAAC
This 420-nucleotide ribosomal RNA is filed under the name uncultured bacterium. RNAcentral describes it as "bacterial SSU rRNA". It matches the Rfam family "Bacterial small subunit ribosomal RNA", at positions 356 to 773 of the family's 1533-position model. The record is from RNAcentral.